GCACACGAACCCUUACCGAGGUUUCUUAGGGGGUCGAUGGCCGUCGUCUCGGACUUCCCGGCGUCUUUCCUCCUGGCUCCCAGCAUGGCGCGUGAUCGUCGAAGACAGGAGCGCAGACGAGGAGACCGCUAUGUGCGACAACCUUUAUCCUGCGAGAGGCUCCAGGAGCGCGCCCGCCCAUUCCUAAGUCUGAUGACGUCACAGAGCAGGGAUUGAAAAAAUAAAAGAAAAAAGCUGUGUUGUUUCUUCAGAUCAGAAACCAGAACCUACUGGUAGCCCGGGGUCUGGUGGGAGAUGGAACCCUGAGUUCUCUGGCAAGAUCAUGACCCGGGGAUCCCAUCACAUCUGAGCCUGGGGUGUUGGUGUCCUUGUGGUGCGGGUUCUGGACCUUGCCCUCAAGCACCGGGCCUUUCCAAAAAUUUCAACAGUGGAUGAGUAAGCCUAGGUGGGCAAUAUUUACAACACUAUUCGGGGACCCCCACUUCAUUUGGGUGUCCUCAUCCUGGGCAGCCCCUGCCUCGCUCUCUCCUAUAUCUCCUGCGGGGUGGGCAGGUGGUGUCCUGAAGUGUGGGGCGGGUCUCCCCUGGGGGCCCUGGCUCGUUCCUAGGGUUGGGGGGACGCUCAGAACUCCUGGGUGGUGGUGGGGGUUCAUCUGGGGCUGGCUGGGCUGGAGCUUGCACUCUCUUUGCUCCUGUGCCUCCCUGCUCUCUGGCAUUGGGGGCCCCUGUGGCGGUCCUGCUGGCCCUGGUCUGGGUGGCUGACGUGAAAGCUGAGCAGGGAGAUUUCAUCUAUUUGCUAUACCAUCAGAGGCUCCUGGCUAUCGCUGCUGCUUUGGAUGUCUUGAUGUGGGGAUGACCGGACAUGCUCCCUCUUUUUUUACAUUCAAUCAUCCACCUGAGCAGAAAAUUCACACUCACCUGGGUUCAGGUGUCGGCUCACCUUUGCACAAAUAAUAUGCAAGACUGAAUUAAAUGCUUUACAUGUGUUGGUUUGUAUGCGUAACUAUGUGCUUGUGAACUGCAGUUGUAAUGUGUAUAUGCUGACGUGUUUAUAUGUGAAGAUAUUUGGAGCCAACAGGUGUGUUUGUUACAUUCAAAUUGUUACUUGCUGCUUUAUGAUUCUUACCCCACCUCUCUAAUGUCCCUUUCUCUUUUUUCCUAUUCUUCUUUUCUGUCCGGUCCAACAAAAUAAGGAUACACACAUAAUCAAUUGAAAUAAAGUUUAGCCCAGA
Non-coding RNA from Oryzias latipes (Japanese medaka), 1231 nucleotides. The record is from RefSeq and is a predicted model, not a curated record. Lineage: Eukaryota; Metazoa; Chordata; Actinopteri; Beloniformes; Adrianichthyidae.